Molecule: unclassified non-coding RNA, 223 nt
Filed under: Hevea brasiliensis (rubber tree)
Lineage: Eukaryota; Viridiplantae; Streptophyta; Magnoliopsida; Malpighiales; Euphorbiaceae
Source: RNAcentral
AUAAAGUAUCGAGUGAUUAUCAUUAUGAGAAUAUAUAUAUAUAUAGCAGAUAGAGUUCAGUUAGGAUUACAACUGGUAGAUAUACACUACAAGGAGAGGAUAUGCUUGAGUUGAUAUAUACAAAGGAUAGAUAAUCCUCAUCAAUGGUAGCUAUUUUUGUAAAAAUUAUAUUUUUAAAAAAAUGUAUAUGAAAUAAUUGUGAAUUAUAUAUGAACCGUGUUAU